Long non-coding RNA from Quercus robur (English oak), 360 nucleotides. RefSeq lists it as uncharacterized. The transcript is spliced from 3 exons. NCBI's taxonomy places the organism in Eukaryota, Viridiplantae, Streptophyta, Magnoliopsida, Fagales, Fagaceae. The record is from RefSeq and is a predicted model, not a curated record.
CUAGCCUCUCUCUCUCUCUCUCUUUUUAUUUUUUUUGGAUGCAGUGAUGAACAAGUAAUUCUAGUCUCUGUUUCUGAUUCUCCUCUUACAAUCGGUCUAUCCUCUCCAUUUUCCCCCUGUGAAGUCAUUAUUUAAAAGAUUCUUUACUGCCUUAGAAAUAGAAUAUUCUUCUUUUCCGAUUAGAAGUGAAGAAGUUUUAGUUUAGAAGUUAUUGUUUCUUUUGUUCAGGGGAUUCUUCUAUGGAUACUCAUUUAUUACAGUUCUCAUGAUUCUCAACCAGGCACUAAGUGGCCUUGCUGUAUCUAUGGUAAUGAAGUAUGCUGACAAUAUUGUGAAGGUGUAUUCUACUUCAGUGGCAAU